Molecule: ribosomal RNA, 484 nt
Filed under: uncultured bacterium
Lineage: Bacteria
Description: partial 16S ribosomal RNA
Rfam family: Bacterial small subunit ribosomal RNA
Source: RNAcentral
AUUGAACGCUGGCGGCAGGCCUAACACAUGCAAGUCGAGCGGAUGAAGGGAGCUUGCUCCUGGAUUCAGCGGCGGACGGGUGAGUAAUGCCUAGGAAUCUGCCUGGUAGUGGGGGAUAACGUCUGGAAACGGGCGCUAAUACCGCAUACGUACUGAGGGAGAAAGUGGGGGAUCUUCGGACCUCACGCUAUCAGAUGAGACUAGGUCGGAUUAGCUAGUUGGUGGGGUAAAGGCCUACCAAGGCGACGAUCCGUAACUGGUCUGAGAGGAUGAUCAGUCACACUGGAACUGAGACACGGUCCAGACUCCUACGGGAGGCAGCAGUGGGGAAUAUUGGACAAUGGGCGAAAGCCUGAUCCAGCCAUGCCGCGUGUGUGAAGAAGGUCUUCGGAUUGUAAAGCACUUUAAGUUGGGAGGAAGGGCAGUAAGUUAAUACCUUGCUGUUUUGACGUUACCAACAGAAUAAGCACCGGCUAACUUCGUG